GAUGCCGAUCUCGAAAACCUGUCCCAGUUCGGACUGGAGUCUGCAACCCGACUCCACGAAGUUGGAUUCGCUAGUAAUCGCGCAUCAGCCAUGGCGCGGUGAAUACGUUCCCGGGCCUUGUACACACCGCCCGUCAAGCCAUGGGAGCCGGGGGCGCCUGAAGUCCGGGACCGCGAGGACCGGCCUAAGGCGAAACUGGUGACUGGGGCUAAGUCGUAACAAGGUACC
This 228-nucleotide ribosomal RNA is filed under the name uncultured bacterium. RNAcentral's name for it is "partial 16S ribosomal RNA". It matches the Rfam family "Bacterial small subunit ribosomal RNA", at positions 1264 to 1500 of the family's 1533-position model. The record is from RNAcentral.